This 520-nucleotide long non-coding RNA is filed under the name Cyanistes caeruleus (blue tit). RNAcentral's name for it is "lncRNA (ENSCCEG00000008012.1)". The record is from RNAcentral. Lineage: Eukaryota; Metazoa; Chordata; Aves; Passeriformes; Paridae.
CCCCAUCACUGACAGCAAACACAAUGUCACAGUGACACUGAUGCUGUGGCUUCUGUGCCCUGCCAGGAACAUCUGGUGUCCUGGUGUCUGGCAGCAACAGCUGAUGCUGCACAUGCCUUUUGGAAGAGGAAGACAAAACCACCAUCAGGUUUGAGUGGUCCAGUUGGCAUCUGUGACAUCCAUCCUGCAACAUUCCACAGAUGGAGGUCUUCCUUCUGAGGUGCAGUUUUCAUGCACAUUAGUCACCCUGAGCAGCCUGCACAAAGUUGAUCCUGACCUGCACCGUGCCAUCUUUUGCCAGCAGGCUUCACUGCUAAUCUACCAUGAAGGAUGCUUCAUUUGCCGCCAGCAUGAAGAUGUCACCUAUGCUGUGUGCAGGACUGCCAGUAGCACGGAUGGUCUCUCUGCAGGGGUGGCAUGGAGGAACAGCCCUGCAUCAGAAAGAUGUUUCAAAACACUGUACAAAGAAAAUGAAUGGUGUGCCUGGGGUAGGCUGCUAGGCUCAGAGGAAAGGCUAUGA